Molecule: microRNA precursor, 95 nt
Filed under: Tupaia belangeri (northern tree shrew)
Lineage: Eukaryota; Metazoa; Chordata; Mammalia; Scandentia; Tupaiidae
Description: miRNA (ENSTBEG00000020033.1)
Source: RNAcentral
AACCAAACCCUUGGAAGUAUAAGUAUGUCCCAUGCCAGGACAUAAGUGUAAGUAUACUCCAUUUGGGGUAUACUUAUGCUAAAAAAUUAGUUGUU